RNAcentral lists this long non-coding RNA (290 nucleotides) under Salvia miltiorrhiza (redroot sage). RNAcentral describes it as "long non-coding RNA (SMIL_LNC010956)". The record is from RNAcentral. Lineage: Eukaryota; Viridiplantae; Streptophyta; Magnoliopsida; Lamiales; Lamiaceae.
ACAGUCAGCCAAUCAGAUGCUCGAAAUCGAUUAGCAUAUCAUAUAUUCCCUCUGUCUACAAAAAAUAAUCAAUUUUUGCCAUUUUAAAACGUCCACAAAAGUUAAUCCAUGUUCAUAUUUGGAUACUACCCUCUUCUCCAUUCACAAUACUCUUCUUCAUUACAAUACAAUUAAUUAUCAUUAUUAACAAUAUUUUAAGUGAGAUUAUUUCUCCACUUACAAUACACUAAUCAUUUUUAUUAAAAUUUGUGUCGUUCCUUUUUAGACUAACAUAUUGAUUAAAAUUAAAA